RNAcentral lists this ribosomal RNA (440 nucleotides) under uncultured bacterium. RNAcentral describes it as "partial 16S ribosomal RNA". It matches the Rfam family "Bacterial small subunit ribosomal RNA", at positions 338 to 795 of the family's 1533-position model. The record is from RNAcentral.
CCUACGGGUGGCUGCAGUGGGGAAUAUUGCACAAUGGAGGAAACCCUGAUGCAGCGACGCCGCGUGAGUGAAGAAGUAUUUCGGUAUGUAAAGCUCUAUCAGCAUGGAAGAAAAUGACUGUACCUGAUUAAGAAGCCCCGUCUAACUACGUGCCAGCAGCCGCGGUAAUACGUAGGGGGCAAGCGUUAUCCGGAGGUACUGGGUGUAAAGGGAGCGUAGACGGCAGGACAAGUCUGGAGUGAAAUGCCGGGGCUUAACCCCGGAAUUGCUUUGGAAACUGUGCAGCUAGAGUGCAGGAGAGGUAAGUGGAAUUCCUGGUGUAGCGGUGAAAUGCGUAGAUAUUAGGAGGAACACCAGUUGCGAAGGCGGCUUACUGGACUGUAACUGACGCUGAGGCUCGAAAGCGUGGGGAGCAAACAGGAUUAGAUACCCUUGUAGUC